Molecule: ribosomal RNA, 253 nt
Filed under: uncultured bacterium
Lineage: Bacteria
Description: partial 16S ribosomal RNA
Rfam family: Bacterial small subunit ribosomal RNA
Source: RNAcentral
UACGGAGGGGGCUAGCGUUGUUCGGAUUGACUGGGCGUAAAGCGCGCGUAGGCGGAUCGUCAAGUCGGGGGUGAAAUCCCGGGGCUCAACCCUGGAAUGGCCUUCGAGACUGGCGGUCUUGAGUUCGAGAGAGGUGGGUGGAAUUCCGAGUGUAGAGGUGAAAUUCGUAGAUAUUCGGAGGAACACCAGUGGCGAAGGCGGCCCACUGGCUCGACACUGACGCUGAGGCGCGAAAGCGUGGGGAGCAAACAGG